This 4008-nucleotide long non-coding RNA is filed under the name Gallus gallus (chicken). The record is from RNAcentral. Lineage: Eukaryota; Metazoa; Chordata; Aves; Galliformes; Phasianidae.
CGGGCGGUCCUCCUCCAGGGGCCGUGCCGGGGGAGGGGUAGGCCGGCGAGCAGCACCCAGAGACAGCGGAGAACAGCGGUUUGGGGCUCGCAGGGCUGAGGGGGGAUCGCUGCCUUCCCCUCGGCGAGGCGCCCGUCCCCGGGGCUGCACGCGGGGGACAAGGGCGGCGGGGCGAGGGGGCACCCGGAGCCUCUGCGUUCCACCCCCCCCGCCCCCGUGCUCUCGGCUCGGCUCAGGCGUCGGAGCCCUCCGUGGCCGCCCGCGGGGCCUCGCUCCGGGUAGGGGGGCCUGGGGAGCGGGGUACCCCGGCCUCCCGGGCCUGGGGACGGAGGAGGGCUGGGCUCACUCACCUCGGCGGGCGGCAGGCGCCGCCGGGUCUGCAUGCCGAGGGGGAUCCCCCGGGGCCGCGCUCCUCCAGCCGCCGCCGCUCGCUCCCGGGCGGGCCCCGCAGCCCCCGCGAGCGCUGGAGAGGCCGGCGCCCGCCCUCACCGCCCGCCAGCCGGGCUCCGCUCGCUGGCUCCGCGGCCAAGGCCGCCGCAGCUCCCGGCAGGCAGCGCCCCCUGGCCGGGCCCGGCGGCAGCGCACGGCACUGCGGCACCGCCGGGGAGGCAGUGCGGAGCCUGACGCACCCCCGCCCCGCCACCUCCGGAUCGCACGCCCAUACGGGCGCCCAACGGGGAGCGAGGCGGCUCUUGGGAGCCGCCCGCAAAUGGCAGCGUGUGGGAGCCGUGCGCAUCGGGCGCUCCGUGCUUCACGCCUCCGAAUCGCAGCCGGGGACGUCCUACGCUGCGCGGACACAGCGGACCUGGCAGGCCCGGGGGGCACACGGAGCGCCGACGCGGGGCCAUCCGCUCAAAGGCAGCCCCAGAGGGGGAAAAAACCGCGCCGGUUCCUCACAAAAGCGGACUCAGAAGUACGAUGGCAAAGUGACGGGUACGCGGGGAACCAUUGCUCUGCGCUCACGCUCUCACCGGCGCCUCUCUCCGCCCGUCGGGAAAACCGUCUCUCCAACGCCUCGCCCGUGUGUGCGCGUUGUGCCCCGGGGUGAGGAGGGGGCGGACAGCCCCGGGCCCCCGCGCCCGGCUCCGGCUUGAACCGCCGCCCUCUGCCGGGCGGAGCCUGAGGGCCCGCUCCCGGGCCUCGCUCACCGCCUCGCGCCUCAGCCGCGUGCCGCCGCGCUCACGGCCAACGGCCAACGCCUCGCGCCGCGGGGCGGCCUCUCAGAAGCGCCUCAGCCGCGCUGAGGGAACUGCCGGCGGGUUGGGCUUCUCCGCCUGCUUCCUACGCUGCCGUGAGCCUCCGUGAGCGAAUCGGGGACUGCUUGCCCAUCCCGCUGGAAAUCAAAAGGAAGCACUUAGUGAUUAUUCAUUGAUUCUGGUAGAACGUUGCACUUUUCAAGCAGAAAACACAAGAUACUCCCCAUUAACUGAAUCAUCAGUCCAUGGGCAAGGAGCUGAGGAGAUAAAAAACACUAAUCGUAUCUGGUAGCAGCACGUUAAAUGGAAGUGGAAUUUGUUUUCUCCCGUAAAGCAUUCCUGGUUAACCCCAACGUGCCGUCUCUGGCAAUUAGUGGUGUCACGCUUGUAAAGCACUGAUGAGUUCUGAUCCAGCGCAGUGCACAGUCACUGCCCUCAAAGCAAUCCUCAGCUCACACAGCUAAACACACGGCCUGUCUGACAGACAGAAAGGAAGUACAGCAUCAGCAAUGACUCUUCAUGCCCUCCAGCCAAGUGCACACGUGUGGCUUCCCGACUACAUGUGUCUCAGAGUCAUAUCGCUACCAGAAUUCUGCUCUGCUUUACACAGCUGUGCUGCUAGACACCUGGAAUGAAAGCGUCCUCGUCUCCGCAGUGUGCUCCCUCUGCUAGGGAAGAAUUUGGGUAUGAACAAUGAUAAACACCGUGUGCAAACAAUGAUUUUGGUCCCAAGUCCCAGCAAUGCCAUAAGGCAUGGACCAUUUACUUGGCACAUUCAGUACAACUAUCAAAGAAAUUCUUCAGCUCUUUAUAGUGCAUCAGCCUCACAUCAGUGAGCAUCUAGCACGCUGUGAUAAGAAAAAUAUGCCUAAUAAUACCCCAGGUGGUAGCACGGACAUUUGGCAUUGAGUUAACCACCUCUCUCACUAAGUCUUUCACCGUCUUUGCCCAGCUGUUUGUGAGAAGGUACCAAGGAAGAGGACAGCCUGGGGAUGUGGAGAGUCCGGCUCACACCAAGGUGGGGAACUGGAAAGAGGACGAGGAGACCAUGGCUAGAAAGCUCUGGAAAUGCUUAAGAACCUUUCUGAUAACAUUGCUGGUCUAGCCAGAAGCUGGAAGUGCCUUUAAUGAAUACCCACAGGGUUCAGGUACUCAUGAGGAUGCUCCAGAUGAAUGUCUGCUCAGUAACAAAAAAACUGCCAGGAUGUCCAAGGAGGAGAAACAGGUUCCUGUUCAACUUUGUAUCUCACUUGCUGAGUGACGUUUAACCCAUCUGAGCCUCUUUACUCGUGUAUAGUAGAACUAGUUAUACUGACUGCAUGAGUACGUGCUGCAUGAGACCACAUAAAGGUCUGUAAAAACUGCUUUGAGAGUCAUCUGGGAGAAGUGUUACUAUGAUGAGUACAUGAAAAAUUAUCAUUUGGAAGACGUGAAAUCAUCACCUAAAUAUGUGCUUUCUAGUUCUCUGAAACAAAAGACCUUUGAGAUUCAAAAGUGAAGAGUUCAAAAGAUGAACUUCAUCUUCCUAAAACGCUGCGAAAUGUGCAUUUUGCAUUUGAAGAUCUAAAAGCACAUUACAAAUUGUUGAAACUCUUGAACAACCUGCUCUACAUCACUCAAAAAUUACAUUUAAGGGUUUGGACUAGAAUCACAGAAUUCUUGAUUUUACUUCACAUCCCGUAUAUCUCAACUAGGGGAGAAUUUAAUUUCCUCAAUUGUAUAAAGUCUCCCAUCUUUCAAAGACGAUGGAGCUCCAGGAAUAAUGCUGGAGCUGUGCCAGAAGAUGGUGGCAAGUAGGAGAAUUGUGCCUCUCAUUGUUUGGAUAAAGGUCGUAAUUCAUGCCAAGCUGGUCUAAAAAAAUCUGCAUCAAGUGUGAUAUAUUGAUGGAGGAGGAGGGACUGGUUUAUCUCACAGCUUCAAGAAGGAAUUUUCUGAGUUGUUGAUAGCCUGUUCUAAAAAGCCACGUACCCUUUUCCAUACAUGCAACCAACAUAUCUGUGCUUCAUGGCCAAUGGGAAUAACAAUGGCAAACAGCAGGUGAUUUUAGAGUCUCCAAAACAGGACCAGAUGUGGGUCUGCAAAGGAGCUUACAAGCUUCUGAAGUAGAUCUACAUAAAUAACGUUCCCAGGCAUUUGUGUGGGCUUCAGUGAAUGCGCUCUGGACUUGAUGUGUUCACUCGUGGAGGCGAGGCUUACUCAGUAUGCUGGCUGAGGACAAAAUACAUCAGACACUUCGGAAAGGAAUUCCACCAGCAAAGCAGCAACACAAGAGGGUGUUUUGUGGAGGAUUUUCAAAUGGCUGUUUCUGUGAACAGAGACUCACUCCCUCAAAUGUCAACGUUUUAGAUGCAAGGAAAAUACUAAGGACAACUCAAUUUUGGAGAAAAGACUUAAAUUUUAGUUGUGUGUAAGUACAAAAUAAAAACAUUUCAAAGUGAAGAAUCAUACCAACAUAGUUCUGAUUAAAUAAUCCACUACUAAGAGCGUUGAAGCGACACCUUUUGGCAUAUGUGUUUUCUUGUGUCUUCCACUGUAACUACCAACAAAAAAGUUGUCAGAUUUUUUUACAAGUUUUGUGUACGAAUUAAAUCAAUUAAUUGCUGUACUGAUCUAAUAUAAAUGGACACAUACAUUCUAUGCAGAAAAAAAGAUCUAAUCCUUUUAAAAUCCUGUUAUAAUCUGUGUAAUAUCUUGUAGCAGCAAGUACCAUGCACCAAUUAUACUUUGAAAGUACUUUCUUUAAUAAACUGUACAUGCUCUACCAGGCAGCUUAACUUAGAGUGCUUUGUUCUCUCAUAGGAGCAAUCAAUUU